This 606-nucleotide unclassified non-coding RNA is filed under the name Talaromyces wortmannii. Its description in RNAcentral is "sequence contains 18S rRNA gene, ITS1, 5.8S rRNA gene, ITS2, 28S rRNA gene". The stretch from base 226 to 379 matches the Rfam family "5.8S ribosomal RNA". Lineage: Eukaryota; Fungi; Ascomycota; Eurotiomycetes; Eurotiales; Trichocomaceae. The record is from RNAcentral.
UCGUAACAAGGUUUCCGUAGGUGAACCUGCGGAAGGAUCAUUACCGAGUGCGGGUUCUAACGAGCCCAACCUCCCACCCGUGUUUACUGUUACCGCGUUGCCUCGGCGGGCCCACUGGGGCCUGGCCCCGGUCGCCGGGGGGCUUCUGCCCCCGGGCCCGCGCCCGCCGAAGCACCCUAGAACCCUGCCUGAAUAGUGAGUCUGAGUGAGAGAUUAAAUCAUUAAAACUUUCAACAACGGAUCUCUUGGUUCCGGCAUCGAUGAAGAACGCAGCGAAAUGCGAUAAGUAAUGUGAAUUGCAGAAUUCCGUGAAUCAUCGAAUCUUUGAACGCACAUUGCGCCCCCUGGCAUUCCGGGGGGCAUGCCUGUCCGAGCGUCAUUUCUGCCCUCCAGCACGGCUGGGUGUUGGGCGCUGUCCCCCCGGGGACACGCCCCAAAAGCAGUGGCGGCGCCGCGUCGGGUCCUCGAGCGUAUGGGGCUUUGUCACCCGCUCGGGAGGGACUCGGUCGGCGCUGGUCUUCCUUUUAGGCAGCCCUUCGGGGUGCGCCUCUUCCGGUUGACCUCGGAUCAGGUAGGGCUACCCGCUGAACUUAAGCAUAUCAAUAA